CCCAGGAUCUUUACCGUGAAAAAAUUAGAGUGUUCAAAGCAGGCAGAUCCAAUUUUCUGCCACCGAAUACAUUAGCAUGGGAUAAUGGAAUAGGACCCUGUCCUCCUAUUUUCAGUUGGUUUUGGCAGCGCGAGGACUAGGGUAAUGAUUAAUAGGGAUAGUUGGGGGCAUUAAUAUUUAAUUGUCAGAGGUGAAAUUCUUGGAUUUAUGAAAGAUUAACUUCUGCGAAAGCAUCUGCCAAGGAUGUUUUCAUUAAUCAAGAACGAAAGUUAGGGGAUCGAAGACGAUCAGAUACCGUCGUAGUCUUAACCAUAAACGAUGCCGACCAGCGAUUAGGAGACGUUGAAUACAAAACACCACCAUCGGUGCGGUCGUCCUUGGCGCGUUGGUCUUCAAAAGCCAGCGCGCGGGGGCGGCUUAGCCCGGUGGCACCGGUGAAUGACUCCCUAGCGCCUUUGUGAG
This 462-nucleotide ribosomal RNA is filed under the name Acanthamoeba sp. RNAcentral describes it as "SSU rRNA". It matches the Rfam family "Eukaryotic small subunit ribosomal RNA", at positions 742 to 1096 of the family's 1831-position model. Lineage: Eukaryota; Discosea; Longamoebia; Acanthamoebidae. The record is from RNAcentral.